Molecule: long non-coding RNA, 969 nt
Filed under: Anser brachyrhynchus (Pink-footed goose)
Lineage: Eukaryota; Metazoa; Chordata; Aves; Anseriformes; Anatidae
Description: lncRNA (ENSABRG00000005769.1)
Source: RNAcentral
AUGGUUGACUGAUUGUAACUAUGACUUUUGAUGAUCUAUCCACAGUGAGGCGGAGGAGUUUCUCCUUUUCUCCUCUUCUUAUGGUGAAAGACCUUAACAGCAUCUGGUAAACAGACACGUGCCCACCAUGCAGCCCUUUGGUGCCCACUGCUGUCCCCAGGGAUCCUCUCCGCAGCCCACCCGCACCACUGGCUGGCCCACAGGGGAGCGAAGCGGGAUGCCUUGUGAUGCCCUGCAUCUCCUUGUUUUCCUCUGUGUUUGUUCAGCUAGUGUCAAUGGUGCUUUGAUGUGUCUGUCUGCAUAGUCCCUCUGAAUUCAAUGUCAUUAAGGUUGUAUAAUCUGUUAAGCAGUGGAUGACGGAGGGUGAGUAGGAUCUUCUCAUGUUUCUGGGCAGAGUUUUGUUUCGUACAGGUUGGUUACCCCGAAUGAAGGAUCCUGAGAAGUGAAAAUUGCAUUGGGAACACUCCUUCUAAAGUUGGGUGGUUGGGUAUGGUCCCUGGGAUGGGGAGGAGACAGCCACGCAUGGAAGUCAAGCAGACCAUGAGGAGGACCCUACCUAGCACAUGGUGGCUGAAGUACCAGCCUUGAUUCUUUUCCCAUAUCAGGCCCACACAUUUAUUAAGUGAAACAAGGACGAGACAGCGCGCUGGCAACUGCCACAUUAGACAGUGGUAUACUACACCUCUACUUGGUAAACAGAGUAUACCAAUCGACCCUUUUGCUCUUAGCUUGGGAAGGAAGGCAUGAGACCUCCCCCACAUACUGGGCUUUAGGCAAAAAAAUGGAAAUGAAAGAUUUUUUGUUGUUGUUGUUAAGUUCUGGAAAACUGUUUAUGGCACUGCCAGACAACAAUAUGAUUGUCUACAGUCAUUCCCUAUAACAUCUUCAUUUUAUGGUCCAGACUUCGACUUCAGUAUAUGCACAGACCAAGUAAGUUUUAAUUAAGUAUGUAAGUGCAUACUGUUCCAU